GCUGGGUGUGAUGGCACACGCCUGUAAUCCCAACAGUUCAGGAGGCUGAGGCAAGAGGAUUGCAAAUUCAAAUAUCAGCCUCAGCAACUUAGUGAGGCCCUAAGCAACUUAGCAAGACCCUGUCUCUG
This 128-nucleotide small RNA is filed under the name Marmota monax (woodchuck). The record is from RNAcentral. Lineage: Eukaryota; Metazoa; Chordata; Mammalia; Rodentia; Sciuridae.